Long non-coding RNA from Mesoplodon densirostris (Blainville's beaked whale), 2941 nucleotides. RefSeq lists it as uncharacterized. The transcript has 3 exons. The record is from RefSeq and is a predicted model, not a curated record. Lineage: Eukaryota; Metazoa; Chordata; Mammalia; Artiodactyla; Ziphiidae.
GGUUUAGUUAAAUGGUUCAGCGCUCAUGUGCAAUGGUGAGACGAGGGAGAAACCCAUUUGAGGAGCUUUUGUGCGCAGGGGAUCCUGAUUCUGGUGUUCCUUAUACAACCAGUAAAUACGGAAAGUGGUGGUGAAGAGAGACACAAAAAUGGAAUUCAAGUGGACCAGGGCCGGGUCUCGAUGCUCCAUGAUCUGCGGAGACAGCGACGCCCUGGAUCGACUGCAGGAGCCAACGGAGCCUUCCAUACUUUGCCUGCUUUUCACUGAUGGCGAUGGCUGUUUAAUUCAUUCUCGAACACCUUCUUUUUAACCUAAGCUUCCCCAAGCCAUAUGCCAUUAGCUGCCUCUUGGUAGACCUUUGAGUAACUUCGGUUCAUCUUCCCUACACAAAAGCAGAGGCUUUUUGCGGUAUUAAGGGAGCCGCAGAGCCCGGGCUGGGGGCGGGGGGAGGAUUUAGUUGUAAUUACAGCCGGGUUCUCGCUUAGUCCCAUCCCACCUUUCUGCCCAUUCACAGGCUCCGGCCAGGGCUGGCGCCAAGAUCUCCAAGUUGCCCUGUGUUUAUGUCAUUGAGACGAGGACAAUAUUUCAGUGUGGAGCCAAGCCACAGGGAUCCACUCUAUAAAACCCUCACUAAAAAUAGACGCUCCAACCCCUGCCCAGCCCCCUCCCCGCCUCCGCGGCUCCCCAACGCCUGCCCCUAGCGCGGCAGCACCCAGCUCCAUACACUGGGAGACAGGCGUGCCAAAUCGGCCAGAUCGCGCAGCUCGGGGGGGCCGUGAGCUCCUUUCUUCCCGAGGAGUUUUAAUGCAGAAUAAAAGGCGUCAAUUAGCAGCCUUUAGAGCUGACAGGGCAAUUAAAGCUAAAUGGCAAGACAGAGGGAGAGCUGGAAGAAGAAGGAAGAGGGAGAGGGGGAGGGAGAGAGGAGAGAGAUUUCCAAUGUGAAGGGUGAGCCUCUCAAACUACAACUGGCUGUUUGGAUAUAUUUUCACUUCUGAAGUGAUAUUUUCAGCGAACACUGAUACUCCCCGUUUAUUGCACUUUUCAUGUUAGAACUGAGCCACUUGGGAAAAUGAAAACAAACACAAAGUGAAAGGAUCUUGUCUUUACAAACUCUCCCAACCAGCCUGGGUCCCAAGAAACACGUUCCUUUGCAGGCUGAAUUAGAUGCAGCAUGAAAUUGUGAGGGUAGACGGAUGGGUGGGUGGAGCCACUGCACCAGUUAGCAGCUAAUUUGCGCUUUGGGGAUCCCAGAAUUUAGAGUUGGUGACUCUGUCAUAAUGCCUUUGCACACUUUCUGUCAUCAGCCCAGUCCCCCAAGGUUGGAAAAACUAUUGGAAAAUAGUCUUCUUUUGGUCUACUCGGCAGUGACCUUCCCGAAGGAACAGUCAGGCUUUGGUUUGGGACUUGGGAGCUCUGAGACUGUCUUAUGCAGAUAGGGGUCGGUAACAACGGUGGUAUUGAUUUUGAUUCACUGUUGCAACACACCCCUUCCAGGGAAUGGAUUCCAGGGGUGCUGUGCACAAGGAUGGGCACAAGAGAGAAAUACACCAUAAUCAGAGGAACAGUCAGCCUGGGGAAGCUAGAGCUCCAUCAAUCCUUCACAGGCAUCCUACCCUCCCCUGGCCCCCAACCCACGGAGGAAACAGUAACCGCAGUUCCUGAGAGGAUGCUCCCAAAGUCACCUUUGCUUUGCUGGACCUCACAUCUCCCAUCCUGUAACUACAAUCCUUUUCACUUCAUCCUCACUCACUCAUUAAGGACUACCAUUUCUACAACCUCUACCCUGCUCCUGGCAUUGUGUUAAGGACUUGCCAGGCACUGAGUGCGAGGUAGGUGCUAUUAUUUUACCUGUUUUAUGUAAGAAGAGACUGAGGCUGAGAGAGAUUAAGUAACUCAUUCAAGGUCAUCCUUCUGGUAAGUGGUGAAGCCGGGGUUGGAACCAGAUCUUAGUCUAAAGACUGUGCUCUUGACCCUUAUAAUGUACUCGCCUUGCACAGGACCCCCAUGAAUCUCCAGGAAAACUUAACUUGGGAUCGGUGUUCAUUUGGUUGGGGCUGAACUUUGAAACCCCUGGAAAGGGGGACUUGCUGUCUUAGGACACUGGUGAUACUGCAAGGACACAGUUCCACAUGCUUAGGAUCAGCAGUUUUGAGCUGAAGGGACAUAAGAGUGACAUUUAGUUGUUCGUGUCUGGAGCUAGUGUCCAGAGCUCCCGGAUUUCUGAGAAUCUAUUCUCAGGAGCAUAAUGAGAUUAUGUAUUUUGAGACAAUAUCUAGCUCAAGCCUUGCCAUUUUGACAGCUCAGGAAGAUGAGAGGCCAGAGAAGGUCACACAGUGAGUUAUGGUGGGUGAAGUCAGAACCAGGAUUACAACCCUGCCCAGGACUAUGUCUGCUAACAAGCAACAUUUUCAAACACUGAAUUUAUAGGUCCACUUGAACUGCUUGAUUGAAGCCCCUUAGGGGCUUUAAUAGAUAUUUGAUGAGUAAAUGUGUAAAAGCAAUUUAGGAGUGGUUACAGGUAGGCAAACACUUGAUAUACUAAUUACAGACUAGUCUUAGCUGCACUCACAAGUAUUGGUAUUUGGUCACAGUUUGGCCUCCUAAUCUCAAUUGCUUAAAUCAAGUAAAGUUGCCUUUCUGUGUAUAUCCUGAGUUCUUCUCUGUUCAUUCCACAUUCAGUAAUUUUUUAAUAGAAUGCCUAAUAUGAGCCAGGCACUGUCCUGGACUGUCAACAAAACAGACUAAUUCCCCACCCUGCUCCCUGCUAAUCUGCUUUGUAAGGCAUUGCUAUGCUGUAUUGCUAUGUAAUUGGGAUUUGCUCUGGUGAGGUUUGGAUGGUGAGAGGCCAUCCAUUUUGUUUGUUUUUUCUUAUUUUCUUCUAUUAGGCCUAAAUGAAUGGUUUUUACCUUUACAUUUUUUAAAUUAAAAAUUACAAAAUAAU